AGGUGCAAUCAUACCAGCACUAAUGCAUCGGAUCCCAUCAGAACUGUACAGUUAAGCGUGCUUGGGUGAGAGUAGUACUAGGAAGGGUGACUGUUGAAAGAUGAAUUUGAGAGGGUUUCCCCCU
RNAcentral lists this ribosomal RNA (124 nucleotides) under Lupinus angustifolius (narrow-leaved blue lupine). Lineage: Eukaryota; Viridiplantae; Streptophyta; Magnoliopsida; Fabales; Fabaceae. The record is from RNAcentral.